GUGAGGAAUUUUCCGCAAUGGGCGAAAGCCUGACGGAGCAAUGCCGCGUGAAGGAUGAAGGCCUAUGGGUUGUAAACUUCUUUUCUCAGAAAAGAAUUAUGACGGUAUCUGAGGAAUAAGCAUCGGCUAACUCUGUGCCAGCAGCCGCGGUAAGACAGAGGAUGCAAGCGUUAUCCGGAAUGAUUGGGCGUAAAGCAUCUGUAGGUUGUUUAAAAAGUAUUCUGUCAAAGAUUAGGGCUUAACCCUAGAUAGGCAGAAUAAACUUUUAAGCUAGAGUUUGGUAGAGGCAGAGGGAAUUCCCGGUGGAGCGGUGAAAUGCGUAGAUAUCGGGAGGAACACCAAAGGCGAAGGCACUCUGCUGGGCCAAUACUAACACUGAGAGACGAAAGCGAGGGGAGCAAAUGGGAUUAGAAACCCGGGUAGUCC
This 426-nucleotide ribosomal RNA is filed under the name uncultured bacterium. RNAcentral describes it as "partial 16S ribosomal RNA". It matches the Rfam family "Bacterial small subunit ribosomal RNA", at positions 354 to 796 of the family's 1533-position model. The record is from RNAcentral.